GUGCCAGCAGCCGCGGUAAUACGGAGGGUGCGAGCGUUAAUCGGAAUUACUGGGCGUAAAGCGCAUGCAGGUGGUUUGUUAAGUCAGAUGUGAAAGCCCGGGGCUCAACCUCGGAAUUGCAUUUGAAACUGGCAGACUAGAGUACUGUAGAGGGGGGUAGAAUUUCAGGUGUAGCGGUGAAAUGCGUAGAGAUCUGAAGGAAUACCGGUGGCGAAGGCGGCCCCCUGGACAGAUACUGACACUCAGAUGCGAAAGCGUGGGGAGCAAAACAGGAUUAGAUACCCUGGUAGUCCACGCCGUAAACGAUGUCUACUUGGAGGUUGUGGCCUUGAGCCGUGGCUUUCGGAGCUAACGCGUUAAGUAGACCGCCUGGGGAGUACGGUCGCAAGAUUAAAACUCAAAUGAAUUGACGGGGGCCCGCACAAGCGGUGGAGCAUGUGGUUUAAUUCGAUGCAACGCGAAGAACCUUACCUACUCUUGACAUCCAGAGAACUUUCCAGAGAUGGAUUGGUGCCUUCGGGAACUCUGAGACAGGUGCUGCAUGGCUGUCGUCAGCUCGUGUUGUGAAAUGUUGGGUUAAGUCCCGCAACGAGCGCAACCCUUAUCCUUGUUUGCCAGCGAGUAAUGUCGGGAACUCCAGGGAGACUGCCGGUGAUAAACCGGAGGAAGGUGGGGACGACGUCAAGUCAUCAUGGCCCUUACGAGUAGGGCUACACACGUGCUACAAUGGCGCAUACAGAGGGCGGCCAACUUGCGAAAGUGAGCGAAUCCCAAAAAGUGCGUCGUAGUCCGGAUUGGAGUCUGCAACUCGACUCCAUGAAGUCGGAAUCGCUAGUAAUCGUG
RNAcentral lists this ribosomal RNA (843 nucleotides) under Vibrio parahaemolyticus. RNAcentral's name for it is "bacterial SSU rRNA". It matches the Rfam family "Bacterial small subunit ribosomal RNA", at positions 505 to 1346 of the family's 1533-position model. Lineage: Bacteria; Pseudomonadati; Pseudomonadota; Gammaproteobacteria; Vibrionales; Vibrionaceae. The record is from RNAcentral.